Molecule: ribosomal RNA, 497 nt
Filed under: uncultured bacterium
Lineage: Bacteria
Description: partial 16S ribosomal RNA
Rfam family: Bacterial small subunit ribosomal RNA
Source: RNAcentral
GAUGAACGCUGGCGGCGUGCCUAAUACAUGCAAGUCGAGCGAACAGACGAGGAGCUUGCUCCUCUGACGUUAGCGGCGGACGGGUGAGUAACACGUGGAUAACCUACCUAUAAGACUGGGAUAACUUCGGGAAACCGGAGCUAAUACCGGAUAAUAUAUUGAACCGCAUGGUUCAAUAGUGAAAGACGGUUUCGCUGUCACUUAUAGAUGGCUCCGCGCCGCAUUAGCUAGUUGGUAAGGUAACGGCUUACCAAGGCAACGAUGCGUAGCCGACCUGAGAGGGUGAUCGGCCACACUGGAACUGAGACACGGUCCAGACUCCUACGGGAGGCAGCAGUAGGGAAUCUUCCGCAAUGGGCGAAAGCCUGACGGAGCAACGCCGCGUGAGUGAUGAAGGUCUUCGGAUCGUAAAACUCUGUUAUUAGGGAAGAACAAAUGUGUAAGUAACUAUGCACGUCUUGACGGUACCUAAUCAGAAAGCCACGGCUAACUACGUG